Molecule: ribosomal RNA, 380 nt
Filed under: uncultured bacterium
Lineage: Bacteria
Description: bacterial SSU rRNA
Rfam family: Bacterial small subunit ribosomal RNA
Source: RNAcentral
GACGAACGCUGGCGGCGUGCUUAACACAUGCAAGUCGAGCGGUAAGGCCCUUUCGGGGGUACACGAGCGGCGAACGGGUGAGUAACACGUGGGUGACCUGCCCUCAGCUCUGGGAUAAGCCUGGGAAACCGGGUCUAAUACUGGAUAUGACUCCAUGACGCAUGUUGUGGGGUGGAAAGCCUUGUGCGGCUGAGGAUGGGCCCGCGGCCUAUCAGCUUGUUGGUGGGGUGANGGCCUACCAAGGCGACGACGGGUAGCCGGCCUGAGAGGGCGACCGGCCACACUGGGACUGAGACACGGCCCAGACUCCGUACGGGAGGCAGCAGGUGGGGAAUCUUGCGACAAGUGGGACGAAAGCCUGACGCAGCGACGCCGCGUGA